UAACCAAAGAGGGUGCAAUUUCAGUCAGAGUAGGGAGAAGAAAAGAGUUAGUUUAGAAAUGAGGAAGCAACACACUUCUUCUGCUGUUGCUGCUGUUGCUGCGUCUCUUUGCAAGGUGCUCCUGAUGAUCCUCGCCCUCCUCUGCACCCUGCACACUGCCUCCGUGGUCGAAGGUAAAUAUAUACUCCCUCUGUUUCAAACUAUUUGACACUGUUGAUUUUUUAUACGUGUUUAACCGUUCGUCUUAUUCAAAAAAUUUAAGUAAUUAUUUAUUCUUUUCAUAUCAUUUGAUUUAUUGUUAAAUAUACUUUCAUGUACAUAUAUAGUUUUACAUAUUUCACAAAUUUUUUUUGAAUAAGACGAACGGUCAAACACGUGCUAAAAAAAUCAACGGUGUCAAAUAUUUUGAAACGGAGGGAGUAUUUACUAGUACUCCGUUCGAUCGAGUUAAAUUAACUUUGUGGGUUUGUGCAUGCUGCAUGUUAUUUAUAAAAUUAACGAGUAGAUCGAUCAGUGACAUGCUAUACACAGUGUUAAUUGGGUGAAUGAAGUGUAUUGAUCACAUGAUAUAUGGAUGCAGGGAGAUCAGGUCCUCCGAACGGGCCGCCAGCUCCUAGUGCCAACGAAGAGCGGCACAAUACACCGGCCUUUCACAACUAGCUAGCUUGAUAUAACAGCUGCAGACUCACCAUGCAUGACAACCUACAUACCUGCAGCUCUCUAUACCCAUGACAUGGCAUGUAAUAAUAUGUGUGUGUGAUACUACGUAUGUACUGUUUCUGUUGCCGGAUCGGAUGAUGAUCGAUGUUCAACUUACUCUCCUAGCUGAGUAGUCCCUUAAUCCUUUUCAUCUCUUUGUGUAACUAGUGAGCAAAGGAAAAUUAAAUAUAGGGAUCUCAUCGAUCUGGGGCUUCUCCAUGUCUGUCAAGAGCUUGUGUAGAUCGAGCUGUGUGAUGGUGUUAAUCCUGGG
This 970-nucleotide long non-coding RNA is filed under the name Oryza sativa (Asian cultivated rice). RNAcentral's name for it is "long non-coding RNA (OSAT_LNC001902)". The record is from RNAcentral. Lineage: Eukaryota; Viridiplantae; Streptophyta; Magnoliopsida; Poales; Poaceae.